AACGAACGCUGGCGGCAGGCUUAACACAUGCAAGUCGAGCGCCCCGCAAGGGGAGCGGCAGACGGGUGAGUACCGCGUGGGAACGUACCCUUAUCUUCGUGAUAGCUCCGGGAAACUGGAAUUAAUACCGAAUGUGCCCUUUGGGGGAAAGAUUUAUCGGAUAAGGAUCGGCCCGCGUUGGAUUAGCUAGUUGGUGGGGUAAAGGCCUACCAAGGCGACGAUCCAUAGCUGGUCUGAGAGGAUGAUCAGCCACAUUGGGACUGAGACACGGCCCAAACUCCUACGGGAGGGAGCAGUGGGGAAUAUUGGACAAUGGGCGCAAGCCUGAUCCAGCCAUGCCGCGUGAGUGAUGAAGGCCUUAGGGUUGUAAAGCUCUUUCACCGGAGAAGAUAAUGACGGUAUCCGGAGAAGAAGCCCCGGCUAACUUCGUG
RNAcentral lists this ribosomal RNA (431 nucleotides) under uncultured bacterium. RNAcentral's name for it is "partial 16S ribosomal RNA". It matches the Rfam family "Bacterial small subunit ribosomal RNA", at positions 29 to 507 of the family's 1533-position model. The record is from RNAcentral.